AAAUGUUUGUUACAUCAAUGAACUACAAUUUUACAAUGUAAACAAAUAUAAAAAUACUUUUUUUUAUAAAUAAGUUCAGUUCUACAUCAAAUUCAAAAUAGUCAAUAAAAUAAUGGUAUGUGGCAAGAAACAUGCUUACUAGUUGAGUUUGCUUGUUUAAGAGUCAUUACAAAAGGGUUAUAACAAACAGCAAACAUAAGCAGCUUGGUAUCAUAAGAAUAUUAAUGAAUAAUCUCCCUUGCUUGCAAUAUUUGUCGAUCUAAAUAAAAAAAAAAACAAAUAUAUCAAAUAGCAAAAAAUUAAACAACAAGCAUAACAUAAUUGCUAAUUUCAAACCAAUAUGCUGCUUCAGACAUUAAUUCAAAUUUUAUAGGAUCUCACCCUAAAUGAAUACACAAGUCAAAAAAGUCAAUUUUCAAAAUAUAUACAAUUAAAUAAAAUAGCACACAACUAAAUUUUAUCAACUAAAUUAUGAAAUUUCAUGCACAAAAGUAUCAAAUAUUAAAUGUACUAGGACAAUUGAAUGAAAAUAAUAAGUUUUUUUAAGAUUAAUUGUUCAUUAAUGUUCAACAUGUUAAAUAGAGAUAACAAUUGGUAAACUGUUAAAUAUACAGAGUUAUCUCCCAUUGACCAAAAUAUAUAAAUAAUGUGGUGAAAUCUUACAUUGAAAAUCUAAGACAGCAAAUACCAGAGACACUCAAAUAAGCUACACUCAAAUUAUCAUUCAGCAUUUAAUUAAUCAGAAAAACCAAAAGAAAGUUAAUUAAAUUUUUUUUCUUCAAAGUUUGGUAUCAUAAGAAUAUUAAUGAAUAAUCUCCCUUGCUUGCAAUAUUUGUCGAUCUAAAUUAAAAAAAAAAACAAAUAUAUCAAAUAGCAAAAAAUUAAACAACAAGCAUAACAUAAUUGCUAAUUUCAAACCAAUAUGCUGCUUCAGACAUUAAUUCAAAUUUUAUAGGAUCUCACCCUAAAUGAAUACACAAGUCAAAAAAGUCAAUUUUCAAAAUAUAUACAAUUAAAUAAAAUAGCACACAACUAAAUUUUAUCAACUAAAUUAUGAAAUUUCAUGCACAAAAGUAUCAAAUAUUAAAUGUACUAGGACAAUUGAAUGAAAAUAAUAAGUUUUUUUAAGAUUAAUUGUUCAUUAAUGUUCAACAUGUUAAAUAGAGAUAACAAUUGGUAAACUGUUAAAUAUACAGAGUUAUCUCCCAUUGACCAAAAUAUAUAAAUAAUGUGGUGAAAUCUUACAUUGAAAAUCUAAGACAGCAAAUACCAGAGACACUCAAAUAAG
Molecule: long non-coding RNA, 1288 nt
Filed under: Mytilus galloprovincialis (Mediterranean mussel)
Lineage: Eukaryota; Metazoa; Mollusca; Bivalvia; Mytilida; Mytilidae
Source: RNAcentral